RNAcentral lists this ribosomal RNA (444 nucleotides) under uncultured bacterium. RNAcentral describes it as "partial 16S ribosomal RNA". It matches the Rfam family "Bacterial small subunit ribosomal RNA", at positions 339 to 795 of the family's 1533-position model. The record is from RNAcentral.
CUACGGGAUGCUCCAGUGGGGAAUAUUGCACAAUGGGCGCAAGCCUGAUGCAGCAACGCCGCGUGAGGGAUGAAGGCCUUCGGGUUGUAAACCUCUUUUAGCAGGGAAGAAGCGAAAGUGACGGUACCUGCAGAAAAAGCACCGGCUAACUACGUGUCAGCAGCCGCGGUAAUACGUAGGGUGCAAGCGUUGUCCGGAAUUAUUGGGCGUAAAGAGCUCGUAGGCGGUUUGUCACGUCUGCUGUGAAAAUCCAAGGCUCAACCUUGGACUUGCAGUGGGUACGGGCAGGCUAGAGUGCGGUAGGGGAGAUGGGAAUUCCUGGUGUAGCGGUGGAAUGCGCAGAUAUCAGGAGGAACACCAAUGGCGAAGGCACAUCUCUGGGCCGUAACUGACGCUGAGGAGCGAAAGCGUGGGGAGCGAACAGGAUUAGAUACCCGGGUAGUC